CCUACGGGGGGCUGCAGUCGAGAAUCAUUCGCAAUGGGCGAAAGCCUGACGAUGCGACGCCGUGUGUAUGAUGAAGGCCUUCGGGUCGUAAAGUACUUUCGCUUAGGAACAAGAGAGUUUGGCUAAUAUCCAGACGAUUUGAGAGUAUUAGGUAAAGAAGCACCGGCUAACUCCGUGCCAGCAGCUGCGGUAAUACGGAGGGUGCAAGCAUUAAUCGGAUUUAUUGGGCGUAAAGGGCGCGUAGGCGGACAUGAAAGUCAGAUGUGAAAUCCUGG
RNAcentral lists this ribosomal RNA (275 nucleotides) under uncultured bacterium. RNAcentral describes it as "partial 16S ribosomal RNA". It matches the Rfam family "Bacterial small subunit ribosomal RNA", at positions 338 to 605 of the family's 1533-position model. The record is from RNAcentral.